AGUGAACGCUGGCGGUAGGCCUAACACAUGCAAGUCGAACGGCAGCACAGUAAGAGCUUGCUCUUACGGGUGGCGAGUGGCGGACGGGUGAGGAAUACAUCGGAAUCUACUUUUUCGUGGGGGAUAACGUAGGGAAACUUACGCUAAUACCGCAUACGGCCUACGGGUGAAAGCAGGGGAUCUUCGGACCUUGCGCGAUUGAAUGAGCCGAUGUCGGAUUAGCUAGUUGGCGGGGUAAAGGCCCACCAAGGCGACGAUCCGUAGCUGGUCUGAGAGGAUGGUCAGCCACACUGGAACUGAGACACGGUCCAGACUCCUACGGGAGGCAGCAGUGGGGAAUAUUGGACAAUGGGCGCAAGCCUGAUCCAGCCAUACUGCGUGGGUGAAGAAGGCCUUCGGGUUGUAAAGCCCUUUUGUUGGGAAAGAAAAGCAGCAGGUUAAUACCCCGCUGUUCUGACGGUACCCAAAGAAUAAGCACCGGCUAACUUCGUG
This 492-nucleotide ribosomal RNA is filed under the name uncultured bacterium. Its description in RNAcentral is "partial 16S ribosomal RNA". It matches the Rfam family "Bacterial small subunit ribosomal RNA", at positions 29 to 507 of the family's 1533-position model. The record is from RNAcentral.